CCUACGGGUGGCUGCAGUAAGGAAUAUUGGUCAAUGGACGAAAGUCUGAACCAGCCAUCCCGCGUGCAGGAUGAAAGCCCUAUGGGUUGUAAACUGCUUUUAGCAGAGACGAAAAGCUUCCAUUUAUGGGGGUCUGACGGUAUCUGCAGAAUAAGCACCGGCUAACUCCGUGCCAGCAGCCGCGGUACUACGGAGGGUGCGAGCGUUAUCCGGAUUUACUGGGUUUAAGGGGUGGGUAGACGGAGUAUUAGAAAUCUUGUCGCUUAAGGAUAAAAUUGACAAUGAUACUGGUAGUCUUGAAUUGGGUUGAGGUUAGCGGAAUGUGACAUGUAGCGGUGAAAUGCAUAGAUAUGUCAUGGAACACCAAUUGCGAAGGCAGCUAACUGGGCCUUGAUUGACGCUGAGGCACGAAAGCGUGGGUAGCGAACAGGAUUAGAUACCCUUGUAGUC
RNAcentral lists this ribosomal RNA (450 nucleotides) under uncultured bacterium. RNAcentral describes it as "partial 16S ribosomal RNA". It matches the Rfam family "Bacterial small subunit ribosomal RNA", at positions 338 to 795 of the family's 1533-position model. The record is from RNAcentral.